Molecule: long non-coding RNA, 325 nt
Organism: Corapipo altera (White-ruffed manakin)
Lineage: Eukaryota; Metazoa; Chordata; Aves; Passeriformes; Pipridae
Exons: 4
Source: RefSeq, a predicted model, not a curated record
CAAAAAUAUAGCCAAGAUGACCAGCCCUGCUCCGUGGGACUCUGGGGGGAUCAGGAAGAGCAAAAAUGAAGCAGAACUGACGGAGUGGCGGCUGCGCGGGAGCCAGCGCCGGCCCGUGGGAGCCUGCUCCAGCCUGCUCCGUGCUAAUUCCAGCCGUUGCCGUGGAGGUAAAUAGCAGGAAUCAGCCUUUGCCUGAUGCACAAACGGAGUCAAGUAGCGGUGCCCUUUGCAAAGCGCUAAUGAAUUACAAGUGUCUCUCCACACACGGGCGCUGCCACCCUCGUGACCAGCUGAAAACCGCAGCCCCGCGCCCUCGACAUGUGGA